AGAGUUUGAUCAUGGCUCAGGAUGAACGCUAGCGGCAGGCUUAACACAUGCAAGUCGAGGGGCAUCGCGGGGUAGCAAUACUCUGGCGGCGACCGGCGGAAGGGUGCGUAACGCGUGAGCAACUUGCCCGUCACUGGGGGAUAGGCACUGGAAACGGUGUGUAAUACUCCAUAACAUAUGGAUUCACAUGGAUUUAUAUUGAAAGA
Molecule: ribosomal RNA, 206 nt
Filed under: uncultured bacterium
Lineage: Bacteria
Description: partial 16S ribosomal RNA
Rfam family: Bacterial small subunit ribosomal RNA
Source: RNAcentral